Non-coding RNA from Triticum aestivum (bread wheat), 135 nucleotides. The record is from Rfam. Lineage: Eukaryota; Viridiplantae; Streptophyta; Magnoliopsida; Poales; Poaceae.
UUUAUACUCCCUCUGUCCCAAAAUUCUUGUCUUAAAUUUGUCUAAAUAUGGAUGUAUCAAGUCAAGUUUGAGUGUUAGAUACAUCCGUAUCUACACAAAUCUAAGACAAGAAUUUUGGGACGGAGGGAGUACAUG